CUCACCUGAAGGCUCACAGCUGAGUCCACAGAGCCCAAGGAGAGUCUGAGAUUGCAGAGGAUGGAGCAGGGCACCUGGUGUCGUCCACUGUGGCUGUGCGUGAAGCAGAAGUGCUGGGUGAGUCACUCUGACGUCACCCUUCUCUGAUGUUUAUGUCUCUAUAGGAUGCUCUGAGGACAGCAACUUUUCUGAAACCCAUCAUGACAAAGACUCUGCAAGUGGUGGAGAUGCUCCAGCUUCUGGAGCAGAUAUGGAAGAGCCCAAGUAUGCAGACGGCCGUCGGCAUAUACCAACAAGUCCUCUCCCGGCACCUGCAGAAAACGCAAUAGAGACACACCCUGAACAGGCAGAAGAAAUAAAACCUAGUGAGCUCGAGGAGGAUAAGGAUGCUGAAGAGACUGACCCGACCUGUUGUGGCCUGACCUGUUGUGGCCUUUGUAUUUGAUGGUGGAAAUCCCUAAAGGCAAGUAAAGGAUGCCCUGAGAACAUCCUCCAGGGAACAGACACCCUCUCCAUAGCAGCCC
This 524-nucleotide long non-coding RNA is filed under the name Piliocolobus tephrosceles (Ugandan red Colobus). RNAcentral describes it as "lncRNA (ENSPTEG00000005701.1)". The record is from RNAcentral. Lineage: Eukaryota; Metazoa; Chordata; Mammalia; Primates; Cercopithecidae.